GACGAACGCUGGCGGCGUGCUUAACACAUGCAAGUCGAACGGAAAGGCCCUGCUUUUGUGGGGUGCUCGAGUGGCGAACGGGUGAGUAACACGUGAGUAACCUGCCCUUGACUUUGGGAUAACUUCAGGAAACUGGGGCUAAUACCGGAUAGGAGCUCCUGCUGCAUGGUGGGGGUUGGAAAGUUUCGGCGGUUGGGGAUGGACUCGCGGCUUAUCAGCUUGUUGGUGGGGUAGUGGCUUACCAAGGCUUUGACGGGUAGCCGGCCUGAGAGGGUGACCGGCCACAUUGGGACUGAGAUACGGCCCAGACUCCUACGGGAGGCAGCAGUGGGGAAUAUUGCACAAUGGGCGGAAGCCUGAUGCAGCAACGCCGCGUGCGGGAUGACGGCCUUCGGGUUGUAAACCGCUUUCGCCUGUGACGAAGCGUGAGUGACGGUAAUGGGUAAAGAAGCACCGGCUAACUACGUGCCAGCAGCCGCGGUGAUACGUAGGGUGCGAGCGUUGUCCGGAUUUAUUGGGCGUAAAGGGCUCGUAGGUGGUUGAUCGCGUCGGAAGUGUAAUCUUGGGGCUUAACCCUGAGCGUGCGUUCGAUACGGGUUGACUUGAGGAAGGUAGGGGAGAAUGGAAUUCUGGUGGAGCGGUGGAAUGCGCAGAUAUCAGGAGGAACACCAGUGGCGAAGGCGGUUCUCUGGGCCUUUCCUGACGCUGAGGAGCGAAAGCGUGGGGAGCGAACAGGCUUAGAUACCCUGGUAGUCCACGCUGUAAACGGUGGGUACUAGGUGUGGGGUCCAUUCCACGGGUUCCGUGCCGUAGCUAACGCUUUAAGUACCCCGCCUGGGGAGUACGGCCGCAAGGCUAAAACUCAAAGGAAUUGACGGGGCCCCGCACAAGCGGCGGAGCAUGCGGAUUAAUUCGAUGCAACGCGUAGAACCUUACCUGGGUUUGACAUGGAUCGGGAGUGCUCAGAGAUGGGUGUGCCUCUUUUGGGGUCGGUUCACAGGUGGUGCAUGCCUGUCGUCAGCUCGUGUCGUGAGAUGUUGGGUUAAGUCCCGCAACGAGCGCAACCCUUGUUCACUGUUGCCAGCACGUUAUGGUGGGGACUCAGUGGAGACCGCCGGGGUCGACUCGGAGGAAGGUGGGGAUGACGUCAAGUCAUCAUGCCCCUUAUGUCCAGGGCUUCACGCAUGCUACAAUGGCUGGUACAGAGAGUGGCGAGCCUGUGAGGGUGAGCGAAUCUCGGAAAGCCGGUCUCAGUUCGGAUUGGGGUCUGCAACUCGACCUCAUGAAGUCGGAGUCGCUAGUAAUCGCAGAUCAGCAACGCUGCGGUGAAUACGUUCCCGGG
RNAcentral lists this ribosomal RNA (1342 nucleotides) under uncultured bacterium. RNAcentral describes it as "16S ribosomal RNA". It matches the Rfam family "Bacterial small subunit ribosomal RNA", at positions 28 to 1378 of the family's 1533-position model. The record is from RNAcentral.